This 253-nucleotide ribosomal RNA is filed under the name uncultured bacterium. Its description in RNAcentral is "partial 16S ribosomal RNA". It matches the Rfam family "Bacterial small subunit ribosomal RNA", at positions 524 to 776 of the family's 1533-position model. The record is from RNAcentral.
UACGUAGGGGGCCAGCGUUGCUCGGAAUUACUGGGCGUAAAGGGUCCGUAGGCGGUGUGGCAAGUCGGGAGUGAAAUCUCUGGGCUUAACCCAGAGGCUGCUUCCGAAACUGCCAUGCUAGAGUGUGAGAGAGGCGAGUGGAAUUACGGGUGUAGCGGUGAAAUGCGUAGAUAUCCGUAGGAACAUCCGAGGCGAAGGCGGCUCGCUGGAUCACAACUGACGCUGAGGGACGAAAGCUAGGGGAGCAAACAGG